Tetraodon nigroviridis (spotted green pufferfish) is the source of this 81-nucleotide non-coding RNA. The record is from Rfam. Lineage: Eukaryota; Metazoa; Chordata; Actinopteri; Tetraodontiformes; Tetraodontidae.
CCUCGGCAAACAUUCAACGCUGUCGGUGAGUUUUUGGUAUGGGUCCCAUAAAAACCAUCGACCGUUGACUGUGCCCCGCGG